GGCAGUGUGGCCGAUUGGUCUAAGGCACUGGUUUUAGGCACCAGUCCGAAAGGGUGUGGGUUCGAAUCCCACCACUGUCA
Molecule: transfer RNA, 80 nt
Filed under: Clonorchis sinensis
Lineage: Eukaryota; Metazoa; Platyhelminthes; Trematoda; Opisthorchiida; Opisthorchiidae
Rfam family: tRNA
About the family: Transfer RNA (tRNA) molecules are approximately 80 nucleotides in length. Their secondary structure includes four short double-helical elements and three loops (D, anti-codon, and T loops).
Source: Rfam by way of RNAcentral